AACGAACGCUGGCGGCAGGCCUAACACAUGCCAGUCGAGCGAGCAUUUCGGUGCUAGCGGCGGACGGGUGAGUAACGCGUGGGAACGUGCCCUUUUCUGCGGAAUAGUCCUGGGAAACUGGCGGUAAUACCGCAUACGCCCUUUUGGGGAAAGGUUUAUCGGAGAAGGAUCGGACCGUGUUGGAUUAGGUAGUUGGUGGGGUAAUGGCCCACCCAGCCGACGAUCCAUAGCUGGUUUGAGAGGAUGAUCAGCCACACUGGAACUGAGACACGGCCCAGACUCCUACGGGAGGCAGCAGUGGGGGAUCUUAGACAAUGGGGGCAACCCUGAUCAAGCCAUGCCGCGUGAGUGAUGAAGGCCUUAGGGUUGUAAAGCUCUUUCAGCUGAGAAGAUAAUGACGGUACCAGCAGAAGAAGCCCCGGCUAACUCCGUG
RNAcentral lists this ribosomal RNA (433 nucleotides) under uncultured bacterium. RNAcentral's name for it is "partial 16S ribosomal RNA". It matches the Rfam family "Bacterial small subunit ribosomal RNA", at positions 29 to 507 of the family's 1533-position model. The record is from RNAcentral.